GACGAACGCUGGCGGCGUGCUUAACACAUGCAAGUCGAACGGUAAGGCCCCAGCUUGCUGGGGUACACGAGUGGCGAACGGGUGAGUAACACGUGGGUGACCUGCCCCGCACUUCGGGAUAAGCCUGGGAAACUGGGUCUAAUACCGGAUAGGACCGCACCGUGAGGGUGUGGUGGAAAGUUUUUCGGUGUGGGAUGGGCCCGCGGCCUAUCAGCUUGUUGGUGGGGUAAUGGCCUACCAAGGCGGCGACGGGUAGCCGGCCUGAGAGGGUGGACGGCCACAUUGGGACUGAGAGACGGCGCAGACUGGUACGGGAGGCAGCAGUGGGAAAUAUUGCAGAGUGGCGGGAAGCCUGUGGCAGCGACCCCGCGUGGGGAAUAAUGGCUUUCGGGUUGUAAACACAUUUCACAGUAGCUGAAGGUUUCUUGACGGUAGAUGGUGAGAAAGCACCGGCUAACUACGUG
Molecule: ribosomal RNA, 464 nt
Filed under: uncultured bacterium
Lineage: Bacteria
Description: partial 16S ribosomal RNA
Rfam family: Bacterial small subunit ribosomal RNA
Source: RNAcentral